CAUUUCAUUAGGGAAACUCGCCACACCAAGACUGACAGAAUCGUCAAGCUUCAAAGGAAACUUCAGGACAGGUAGUACGUUAUAAUAACACUCAAAGCUUUUAAAGCAUACAACAAUUAAACAUCACAUCCCGUAUAUCAAAAACUUCAACCCCCC
Long non-coding RNA from Sycon ciliatum, 156 nucleotides. RefSeq lists it as uncharacterized. Lineage: Eukaryota; Metazoa; Porifera; Calcarea; Leucosolenida; Sycettidae. The record is from RefSeq and is a predicted model, not a curated record. The transcript has 2 exons.